This 253-nucleotide long non-coding RNA is filed under the name Homo sapiens (human). Its description in RNAcentral is "non-protein coding lnc-ANKH-5:1". Lineage: Eukaryota; Metazoa; Chordata; Mammalia; Primates; Hominidae. The record is from RNAcentral.
AAAUGGAAACUGAACAGCCAGAGGAAACCUUCCCUAACAUCGAAAUCAACAGUGACUCUGGUAAACAUCCUGCAGAAGACAUGAAAGAGGAAAAAGCAUUUAAAGAUCUAGAAACACUGAUGAGAUGGUUGAAUUAGGCAUUCUGCUUCAGAGCAGAAUGCUGGGGCAGUGACUGGAAAAGGAAGCAAGAAUAUGAAGUUUCUCCGUACAGACCACAAUGCCAAUGCUUUAGUCCCAGACAGCAGGGGCCCCG